UAUUAAUAUAACCCUGAAGAGAAACUGUAAAGCUCGUUAAAAACGCAUCUUCUAUCUUCGGUGGUCACAUGGGAGAAGAAGAACACGAGCUCCAAUCCAUUGAAGAGAUGUUUGAAGAUUUUAGAUCACCGUCGUUGUAAUUAGGGAUCAAAUUAAAUCACGAGCUCCUCACAUACACUAAACGGUAAGUUAGAUUUCUAGGUUUUAUAUUUCGAUUUUGAUUCAAAAUUAGCUAUGAAUAUUUGAUUUUAGUUUUGAUUUCAAGGCUGGUAGCAUCGUUGAUUCAGUAUAACUGUAAGAUUCAUUAUCAUAUGAUCUUAUUCAUCGCAUCAUCAUGUUUGAUUUUUGAAUCAAAAUCCAAAAUAUGGUACUCGAUUUAGAACGAAUUGGGUUCGAUUUUGGAUACUGCAGUCAAUGGAAGGAGUUACGGUUUGGAUUUCUAGUGGAAUUUAGGGAUUUUUCUCAUUGAGAACAAGAAGAAAGAAGAAAGGGGUUCUAUUGUAUAUGAGAAAUUGGGCGUUGAUGGUAUGUCAAAGGUGUAGCCGUGAUUUGAGCAGUGGAUGGAAGAGAUUAGACAUGGGUUUCUGGUGUUGAUGGGUUUGAAUCGUUUACAGGGAAGGUGGUGAAUGAAUGGGAUUGAGUUGGUGGUGCUGUUGAUGUCAAAAAAAUGAAAAAAGUGGAUAAUUUGGAGUGGGAUUUGGAGUUGAUAAGGAUGGAGUUACAAGGCUUGAGCAGCUGCAGUUGAGGUGGUGGAUGCAGCUGAUGCCAUGAAUCAAUGGUGGUGGUUGCUGUUAGUUGGAAGAAGAAGGAAAUAAUGGUGUUCAAAGUAGCUGCAGAUGCAGUGUUGGUACGCGUUAUUAUCUCUGAUGGAGUAUGAAGGACUUUCAACGGUAUUAAAGUAUAUUUGAUUGACUCUUAUCCACUGUGUGUGGCCAUUUCAUUAGACCGAUAGUGUUCGUACAAAUUUCGCAAUUAACAUGUCAUCUUAUAUCCUCUAUAUGAACAUAUAGAAUAAGAGCGACUGUAAAUCAUUUAGUUAGUUCUCAGUCAAAGUUGUGGUUGCUACUUUUGUUGAGCACUACUGUUAUAGAUGGAUGUUUGAACUGCCGAGAAGAACUGCUGUUGCUUUUGCAGAAAAGAACUGCCAAUGUACAGGGAAUAAGAGCAUGAUGCAGUAGUUUGGGAACAAGCAGCAACAAAGAGCUGGUAAUGCUGUAAAUGAGUCGAGCAAAUGAAGAUAAAAACAAUUGUUGAUAAUUUUGAAGCUAAGUAGAAUGGCAUGAAUUGCAAAAUAUCUGGUGCUGCUGUUCAAUGGAAGCAUGGACAGUUGUGUUUGUGAUGUGGAAGUACAGUUUUGUUUUUGCGAGUUCGGAAAAAAGACAAACUCGAUAAAAUGUUGGAUUGAUUGGUAACUGGAACAGAACAUUUCAAGUAAUCAAAAGGCUGGAACAACAACAAUCAAGUGUUAGUGAAGUCCCACUUCCAUUACUAUCAGCUAUAAACUUGAAGCAAGGCAUGAAGCUGGUAACCGUGGGGGUUCAACAUGCUUAGUUAUUUUCCCAUAAACUGGUAAUACAGAACCUGCUAGUAUUAUAAGCAAAAUCACAAAUACUAGACGUUUAGGAGUAGUCCAUAAUGAUCCCAGUUGUAUUUUCUCCCAAGAUCUAUAAAGAAUUUCUGGUGAAAGUUUUUUUAUGCAAUCAGAAAAAUAAAGAACUGUGCAUCUUUUCUUGGUGAUUACUAGGAUAAACUUAGAAUUAUCCACGAAAUACACAGGAUGCACAUGAGUGCAUAAUAUAUAUUCUGACAUGAAAUAGAUUUUUACCCUAGUUGUACCCGAGUGCAUAAUGUAUAUAUAUAUUUUAA
Papaver somniferum (opium poppy) is the source of this 1866-nucleotide long non-coding RNA. RefSeq lists it as uncharacterized. The transcript is spliced from 2 exons. The record is from RefSeq and is a predicted model, not a curated record. NCBI's taxonomy places the organism in Eukaryota, Viridiplantae, Streptophyta, Magnoliopsida, Ranunculales, Papaveraceae.